This 449-nucleotide ribosomal RNA is filed under the name uncultured bacterium. RNAcentral describes it as "partial 16S ribosomal RNA". It matches the Rfam family "Bacterial small subunit ribosomal RNA", at positions 29 to 523 of the family's 1533-position model. The record is from RNAcentral.
AAUGAACGCUGGCGGCAGGCCUAACACAUGCAAGUCGAACGGAUCAUUCGGGAUUAGUGGCGGACGGGUGAGUAACGCGUGGGAACAUACCCAAAGGUACGGAAUAGCCUCGGGAAACUGGGAGUAAUACCGGAUGUGCUCGAAGGAGGAAAGAUUUAUCGCCUUUGGAUUGGCCCGCGUUGGAUUAGGUAGUUGGUGGGGUAAUGGCCUACCAAGCCGACGAUCCAUAGCUGGUUUGAGAGGAUGAUCAGCCACACUGGGACUGAGACACGGCCCAGACUCCUACGGGAGGCAGCAGUGGGGAAUCUUAGACAAUGGGGGAAACCCUGAUCUAGCCAUGCAGCGUGAUCGAUGAAGGCCUUAGGGUUGUAAAGAUCUUUCAGGUGGGAAGAUAAUGACUGUACCACCAGAAGAAGCCCCGGCUAACUCCGUGCCAGCCGCCGCCGUAA